UUAAUUGUAAAUUGAUUAAUAUAGAAGUAUUAGUUAUGUUCUUGAAAUUAAAAAAAUUUGACGGUAUUUUAAUCUUUUUAGGGGAACCUGUUUCAUAAUUGAUAUUCCACGAUUUUAAUUACUUAAAUUUAAAAUUUAUAUAUCGUCGUAGUAAAAUAUUUUAAAAGAAAUUAUUUAAAUCUUUAAUUGUAGUUUAAUUCAGAUCAAGGUGUAGUAAUAUUUAAGAAGAUAAUGGGUUACAAUAAAUUUAUUUAUACGAAUAAUAAAUUUAAAAUUUAUUUGAAGGUGGACUUAAAAGUAAUUGAAUUAAUAUAAUUUUGGUGAUUUUAGUUCUAAAAUAUGU
Molecule: ribosomal RNA, 343 nt
Filed under: Smicrus filicornis
Lineage: Eukaryota; Metazoa; Arthropoda; Insecta; Coleoptera; Ptiliidae
Description: partial 12S ribosomal RNA
Source: RNAcentral